AUUGAACGCUGGCGGCAUGCUUUACACAUGCAAGUCGAACGGCAGCGCGGGCUUCGGCCUGGCGGCGAGUGGCGAACGGGUGAGUAAUGCAUCGGAACGUGCCCAGUAGUGGGGGAUAGCCCGGCGAAAGCCGGAUUAAUACCGCAUACGACCUGAGGGUGAAAGCGGGGGACCGAAAGGCCUCGCGCUUUUGGAGCGGCCGAUGUCGGAUUAGCUAGUUGGUGGGGUAAAGGCUUACCAAGGCGACGAUCCGUAGCUGGUCUGAGAGGACGACCCGCCACACUGGGACUGAGACACGGCCCAGACUCCUACGGGAGGCAGCAGUGGGGAAUUUUGGACAAUGGGGGCAACCCUGAUCCAGCCAUGCCGCGUGCGGGAAGAAGGCCUUCGGGUUGUAAACCGCUUUUAUUCGGGAAGAAAUCCUCUGGGAUAAUACCCCGGGGGGAUGACGGUACCGGAAGAAUAAGCACCGGCUAACUACGUG
Molecule: ribosomal RNA, 484 nt
Filed under: uncultured bacterium
Lineage: Bacteria
Description: partial 16S ribosomal RNA
Rfam family: Bacterial small subunit ribosomal RNA
Source: RNAcentral